This 1195-nucleotide ribosomal RNA is filed under the name Escherichia coli. RNAcentral's name for it is "partial 23S ribosomal RNA". It matches the Rfam family "Bacterial large subunit ribosomal RNA", at positions 1 to 1238 of the family's 2925-position model. RNAcentral also lists the same sequence under 3 other names. Lineage: Bacteria; Pseudomonadati; Pseudomonadota; Gammaproteobacteria; Enterobacterales; Enterobacteriaceae. The record is from RNAcentral.
GGUUAAGCGACUAAGCGUACACGGUGGAUGCCCUGGCAGUCAGAGGCGAUGAAGGACGUGCUAAUCUGCGAUAAGCGUCGGUGAGGUGAUAUGAACCGUUAUAACCGGCGAUUUCCGAAUGGGGAAACCCAGUGUGUUUCGACACACUAUCAUUAACUGAAUCCAUAGGUUAAUGAGGCGAACCGGGGGAACUGAAACAUCUAAGUACCCCGAGGAAAAGAAAUCAACCGAGAUUCCCCCAGUAGCGGCGAGCGAACGGGGAGGAGCCCAGAGCCUGAAUCAGUGUGUGUGUUAGUGGAAGCGUCUGGAAAGGCGCGCGAUACAGGGUGACAGCCCCGUACACAAAAAUGCACAUAUUGUGAGCUCGAUGAGUAGGGCGGGACACGUGGUAUCCUGUCUGAAUAUGGGGGGACCAUCCUCCAAGGCUAAAUACUCCUGACUGACCGAUAGUGAACCAGUACCGUGAGGGAAAGGCGAAAAGAACCCCGGCGAGGGGAGUGAAAAAGAACCUGAAACCGUGUACGUACAAGCAGUGGGAGCCUCUUAAUGGGGUGACUGCGUACCUUUUGUAUAAUGGGUCAGCGACUUAUAUUCUGUAGCAAGGUUAACCGAAUAGGGGAGCCGAAGGGAAACCGAGUCUUAACUGGGCGUUAAGUUGCAGGGUAUAGACCCGAAACCCGGUGAUCUAGCCAUGGGCAGGUUGAAGGUUGGGUAACACUAACUGGAGGACCGAACCGACUAAUGUUGAAAAAUUAGCGGAUGACUUGUGGCUGGGGGUGAAAGGCCAAUCAAACCGGGAGAUAGCUGGUUCUCCCCGAAAGCUAUUUAGGUAGCGCCUCGUGAAUUCAUCUCCGGGGGUAGAGCACUGUUUCGGCAAGGGGGUCAUCCCGACUUACCAACCCGAUGCAAACUGCGAAUACCGGAGAAUGUUAUCACGGGAGACACACGGCGGGUGCUAACGUCCGUCGUGAAGAGGGAAACAACCCAGACCGCCAGCUAAGGUCCCAAAGUCAUGGUUAAGUGGGAAACGAUGUGGGAAGGCCCAGACAGCCAGGAUGUUGGCUUAGAAGCAGCCAUCAUUUAAAGAAAGCGUAAUAGCUCACUGGUCGAGUCGGCCUGCGCGGAAGAUGUAACGGGGCUAAACCAUGCACCGAAGCUGCGGCAGCGACACUAUGUGUUGUUGGGUAGGGGAGCG